AGUGGGGAAUAUUGCACAAUGGAGGAAACUCUGAUGCAGCAACGCCGCGUGGAGGAUGACGCAUUUCGGUGUGUAAACUCCUUUUAUAUAGGAAGAUAAUGACGGUACUAUAUGAAUAAGCACCGGCUAACUCCGUGCCAGCAGCCGCGGUAAUACGGAGGGUGCAAGCGUUACUCGGAAUCACUGGGCGUAAAGCGCAUGCAGGCGGUCUAAUAAGUUGGAAGUGAAAUCCUAUGGCUCAACCAUAGAACUGCUUCCAAAACUGUUAGACUAGAGUCUGGGAGGGGAAGAUGGAAUUAGUAGUGUAGGGGUAAAAUCCGUAGAGAUUACUAGGAAUACCAAAAGCGAAGGCGAUCUUCUGGAACAGUACUGACGCUGAGAUGCGAAAGCGUGGGGAGCAAACAGGAUUAGAUACCCUGGUAGUCCACGCAGUAAACGAUGAAUGUUAGUCGUUGGUAUGCUAGACAUAUCAGUGAUGCAGUUAACACAUUAAACAUUCCGCCUGGGGAGUACGGUCGCAAGAUUAAAACUCAAAGGAAUAGACGGGGACCCGCACAAGUGGUGGAGCAUGUGGUUUAAUUCGAAGAUACGCGAAGAACCUUACCUAGCCUUGACAUAUUAUAGAAUUCAGUAGAGAUACAGAAGUGCCUUCGGGAGCUAUAUUACAGGUGCUGCACGGCUGUCGUCAGCUCGUGUCGUGAGAUGUUGGGUUAAGUCCCGCAACGAGCGCAACCCUCGUCACUAGUUACUAACGGUUAGGCCGAGGACUCUAGUGAGACUGCCUUCGUAAGGAGGAGGAAGGUGAGGACGACGUCAAGUCAUCAUGGCCCUUACGGCUAGGGCAACACACGUGCUACAAUGGUUAGGACAAUGAGAAGCAAUAUCGCGAGGUGGAGCAAAUCUAUAAACCUAAUCUCAGUUCGGAUUGUAGUCUGGAACUCGACUACAUGAAGCUGGAAUCACUAGUAAUCGUAGAUCGGCUAUGCUACGGUGAAUACGU
RNAcentral lists this ribosomal RNA (1000 nucleotides) under uncultured bacterium. RNAcentral's name for it is "bacterial SSU rRNA". It matches the Rfam family "Bacterial small subunit ribosomal RNA", at positions 353 to 1371 of the family's 1533-position model. The record is from RNAcentral.